Molecule: ribosomal RNA, 403 nt
Filed under: Verrucomicrobiota bacterium
Lineage: Bacteria; Pseudomonadati; Verrucomicrobiota
Description: Verrucomicrobia bacterium partial 16S ribosomal RNA
Rfam family: Bacterial small subunit ribosomal RNA
Source: RNAcentral
UGGGGAAUAUUGCACAAUGGGGGAAACCCUGAUGCAGCGACGCCGCGUGAGCGAAGAAGGUUUUCGAAUCGUAAAGCUCUGUCCUAUGAGAAGAUAAUGACGGUAUCAUAGGAGGAAGGCCCGGCUAAAUACGUGCCAGCAGCCGCGGUAAUACGUAUGGGGCGAGCGUUGUCCGGAAUUAUUGGGCGUAAAGGGUACGUAGGCGGUCUAUUAAGUCAGGUGUGAAAGCGUGAGGCUUAACCUCAUUAAGCACUUGAAACUGAUAGACUUGAGUGAAGGAGAGGAAAGUGGAAUUCCCAGUGUAGCGGUGAAAUGCGUAGAUAUUGGGAGGAACACCAGUAGCGAAGGCGGCUUUCUGGACUGCAACUGACACUGAGGCACGAAAGCGUGGGUAGCAAACAGG